GAUGAACGCUAGCGACAGGCUUAACACAUGCAAGUCGAGGGGCAGCAUAAAAGUAGCAAUACUUUGGUGGCGACCGGCGCACGGGUGAGUAACGCGUAUGCAACCUACCUAUCAGAGGGGGAUAACCCGGCGAAAGUCGGACUAAUACCGCAUAAAACAGGGGCACCGCAUGGUGAUAUUUGUUAAAGAUUAAUUGCUGAUAGAUGGACAUGCGUUCCAUUAGGUAGUUGGUGAGGUAACGGCUCACCAAGCCGACGAUGGAUAGGGGAACUGAGAGGUUGGUCCCCCAACUGGUACUGAGACACGGACCAGACUCCUACGGGAGGCAGCAGUGAGGAAUAUUGGUCAAUGGGCGAGAGCCUGAACCAGCCAAGUCGCGUGAAGGAAGAAGGAUCUAUGGUUCGUAAACUUCUUUUGCUAGGGGAAUAAAGUGGAGGACGUGUCCUCUUUGUAUGUACCCUGAGAAUAAGGAUCGGCUAACUCCGUGCCAGCAGCCGCGGU
RNAcentral lists this ribosomal RNA (501 nucleotides) under uncultured bacterium. RNAcentral describes it as "bacterial SSU rRNA". It matches the Rfam family "Bacterial small subunit ribosomal RNA", at positions 28 to 521 of the family's 1533-position model. The record is from RNAcentral.